Pocillopora verrucosa is the source of this 1152-nucleotide long non-coding RNA. RefSeq lists it as uncharacterized. NCBI's taxonomy places the organism in Eukaryota, Metazoa, Cnidaria, Anthozoa, Scleractinia, Pocilloporidae. The record is from RefSeq and is a predicted model, not a curated record.
CAAAAUUCUCUUAAUUAUCAAACAAAGCAGACGAACAGUAUUUGUGUGUAAUUUCUUGUAAAAAGCUACUCUUCUGAAGGAUGGUGUGACUAAUUAUUAACGCUGGGCGCUAUGUGGCCAGGAAAAUUUCAGCCGUGUUUUCCAAGUCAAGCGAUAAAGCCCAGUCACAAGAAGCUACGGAGGAAUCAAGUUCGGAGCCAAGAUCGUUAAAAUUCUCUCCAGCGGCUGUAAGUAGUGAAACGGAAACAUCUGCUCACCAGUGGAAGGAUUCUACCGAAAAUGCCAAUGGAAGUAAUGUCAGACAUGUAAAUGAAGAAGGAGUUACGACAUAGAGAGCAUUUUAAUCAACACACAUAUAACGCAGAGGACUUCUUUUGUUUUUUUUCUAAUUCAAUGCUUCAUUAGCAGAACUUUAAAGCUAAAGUCAAGCCCUGAAGGCAAUUGUAAGAAGUGAUAGAAGCCUUCAGCUGAUUUAUCUGCCUUCUUGUUAAUGAUUUUGGAUCAAUGCUAGUAUUUGUGGAACAGUGCACUUUCUCAAGCCUUCCCUAACCCAACAACAGUCAAGUGAUAAAAUUGGGUUAAUGUUGGGUUAGGUCAUUUGAAGAGGGGAAGAUGUGCAGUGAGUGGCUCAGUUACUGAGAUACCAUAUUUAUGUUCCAUCUUACUUUUUUUUCCUUUUUUUUGGAUCAAUGUCAGUAUCUGAGCAAUUUUGCACUUACUCUUCCCCUAACCCAACAGCAGUCAAGUGAUGACAAACUAGGUAUUUUUUUUAGUAGGAGAGGGGUAGAUGUGUAGUUACUUGAAUAGUGGCAUUGAUCCAAUGAUUUUUUUAGCUGUUAACUUUCCUGUCUGCCUUGUUGUGCAUCUUUGCUGCUGAUCAACAUUUACACUGGUGUUUAUGAUAGUAUUGCUGCAAAGUUCCUUCAAAUGAAAUGUAGCUUUACCUGAUUAGAAGAUUACACCAGUUUUAAUUGUUGAUCAUUUGAAACUUACAGCUGUGAAAUUUUUUGACAACAAUUUACUUCAUGAAUUUAUGCAUGCAGAGCAUUGUAUACACAUAAGCUGCAAACUAAAUGCUGGCUCUUAUUGACCAUAGCAUAGAAAGUAUCUGUGACAGGGAGGGAAAAUAAAUGUGAUAAAACUGCUGGAUAA